RNAcentral lists this non-coding RNA (109 nucleotides) under Jaculus jaculus (lesser Egyptian jerboa). The record is from RNAcentral. Lineage: Eukaryota; Metazoa; Chordata; Mammalia; Rodentia; Dipodidae.
GCAUUGUAUGAAAGGAGAGAAGGUAGACACUCCUGUAGACACAGAUGGAGAGGCCCUAGGGCCUCACAUGACAACCCACCUAAUGCAGAAGCUGAUACUUAGAAUUUGA